This 443-nucleotide ribosomal RNA is filed under the name uncultured bacterium. RNAcentral's name for it is "partial 16S ribosomal RNA". It matches the Rfam family "Bacterial small subunit ribosomal RNA", at positions 338 to 795 of the family's 1533-position model. The record is from RNAcentral.
CCUACGGGAGGCAGCAGUGGGGAAUAUUGGGCAAUGGGCGCAAGCCUGACCCAGCAACGCCGCGUGAAGGAAGAAGGCUCUCGGGUUGUAAACUUCUUUUAUCAGGGACGAAGCAAGUGACGGUACCUGAUGAAUAAGCCACGGCUAACUACGUGCCAGCAGCCGCGGUAAUACGUAGGUGGCAAGCGAUAUCCGGAUUUACUGUGUGUAAAGGGCGUGUAGGCGGGAAAGCAAGUCAGAUGUGAAAACCAUGGGCUCAACCUGUAGCCUGCAUUUGAAACGGUUUUUCGUGAGUACUGGAGAGGCAGACGGAAUUCCUAGGGUAGCGGUGAAAUGCGUAGAUAUUAGGAGGAACACCAGUGGCGAAGGCGGUCUGCUGGACAGCAACUGACGCUGAGGCGCGAAAGCGUGGGGAGCAAACAGGAUUAGAUACCCUAGUAGUC